RNAcentral lists this ribosomal RNA (253 nucleotides) under uncultured bacterium. RNAcentral describes it as "partial 16S ribosomal RNA". It matches the Rfam family "Bacterial small subunit ribosomal RNA", at positions 524 to 776 of the family's 1533-position model. The record is from RNAcentral.
UACAGAGGUCUCGAGCGUUAGGCGGAAUCACUGGGCUUAAAGCGUGUGUAGGCGGACUGGUAAGUACCUUGUGAAAUCCCACAGCUUAACUGUGGAACUGCUCGGUAUACUGCUGGUCUUGAGCCACUCAGGGGCUACCGGAACAAAUGGUGGAGCGGUGAAAUGCGUAGAUAUCAUUUGGAACGCCAAUGGUGAAAACAGGUAGCUGGGGGUGUGCUGACGCUGAGACACGAAAGCCAGGGGAGCAAACGGG